GCGUUCUUAGCUCAGUUGGUAGAGCGUCGCCCUUACAAGGCGAAUGUCGGCGGUUCGACCCCGUCAGGACGCACCA
Molecule: transfer RNA, 76 nt
Filed under: Quatrionicoccus australiensis
Lineage: Bacteria; Pseudomonadati; Pseudomonadota; Betaproteobacteria; Rhodocyclales; Azonexaceae
Also listed under: 3 other names
Description: tRNA-Val
Rfam family: tRNA
About the family: Transfer RNA (tRNA) molecules are approximately 80 nucleotides in length.
Source: RNAcentral